RNAcentral lists this ribosomal RNA (433 nucleotides) under uncultured bacterium. Its description in RNAcentral is "partial 16S ribosomal RNA". It matches the Rfam family "Bacterial small subunit ribosomal RNA", at positions 29 to 507 of the family's 1533-position model. The record is from RNAcentral.
AACGAACGCUGGCGGCAUGCCUAACACAUGCAAGUCGAACGAGACCUUCGGGUCUAGUGGCGCACGGGUGCGUAACGCGGGGGAACCUGCCCUUAGGUUCGGAAUAACUCCCCGAAAGGGGUGCUAAUACCGGAUAAUGUCUUCGGACCAAAGAUUUAUCGCCUUUGGAUGGGCCCGCGUUGGAUUAGCUAGUUGGUAGGGUAAAAGCCUACCAAGGCGACGAUCCAUAGCUGGUCUGAGAGGAUGAUCAGCCACACUGGGACUGAGACACGGCCCAGACUCCUACGGGAGGCAGCAGUGGGGAGUAUUGGACGAUGGGCGAAAGCCUGAUCCAGCAAUGCCGCGUGAGUGAUGAAGGGCUUAGGGUUGUAAAGCUCUUUUACCCGGGAUGAUAAUGACAGUACCGGGAGAAUAAGCUCCGGCUAACUCCGUG